Molecule: ribosomal RNA, 791 nt
Filed under: uncultured Sulfitobacter sp.
Lineage: Bacteria; Pseudomonadati; Pseudomonadota; Alphaproteobacteria; Rhodobacterales; Roseobacteraceae
Description: bacterial SSU rRNA
Rfam family: Bacterial small subunit ribosomal RNA
Source: RNAcentral
GAACGCUGGCGGCAGGCCUAACACAUGCAAGUCGAGCGCACCCUUCGGGGCGAGCGGCGGACGGGUUAGUAACGCGUGGGAACAUACCCUUUGGUACGGAAUAGCCUCGGGAAACUGAGAGUAAUACCGUAUGUGCCCUUCGGGGGAAAGAUUUAUCGCCAAAGGAUUGGCCCGCGUAAGAUUAGAUAGUUGGUGGGGUAAUGGCCUACCAAGUCUACGAUCUUUAGCUGGUUUUAGAGGAUGAUCAGCAACACUGGGACUGAGACACGGCCCAGACUCCUACGGGAGGCAGCAGUGGGGAAUCUUAGACAAUGGGCGCAAGCCUGAUCUAGCCAUGCCGCGUGUGUGAUGAAGGCCUUAGGGUCGUAAAGCACUUUCGCCAGAGAUGAUAAUGACAGUAUCUGGUAAAGAAACCCCGGCUAACUCCGUGCCAGCAGCCGCGGUAAUACGGAGGGGGUUAGCGUUGUUCGGAAUUACUGGGCGUAAAGCGUACGUAGGCGGAUCAGAAAGUAUGGGGUGAAAUCCCAGGGCUCAACCCUGGAACUGCCUCAUAAACUCCUGGUCUUGAGUUCGAGAGAGGUGAGUGGAAUUCCAAGUGUAGAGGUGAAAUUCGUAGAUAUUUGGAGGAACACCAGUGGCGAAGGCGGCUCACUGGCUCGAUACUGACGCUGAGGUACGAAAGUGUGGGGAGCAAACAGGAUUAGAUACCCUGGUAGUCCACACCGUAAACGAUGAAUGCCAGUCGUCGGGUAGCAUGCUAUUCGGUGACACACCUAACGGAUUAAGCAUCC